Molecule: ribosomal RNA, 253 nt
Filed under: uncultured bacterium
Lineage: Bacteria
Description: partial 16S ribosomal RNA
Rfam family: Bacterial small subunit ribosomal RNA
Source: RNAcentral
AACGUGGGAGGCAAGCGUUAUCCGGAGUUACUGGGCGUAAAGAGUGCGUAGGCGGACGUGUAAGUGGGUGGUGAAAGCGCCCGGCUAAACCGGGCGAGGUCCAUUCAGACUGCAGGUCUAGAGGCGGAUAGAGGGGUGCGGAAUUCCGGGUGUAGCGGUGAAAUGUGUAGAGAUCCGGAGGAACACCAGUGGUGCAAACGGCGCCCUGGGUCCGAACUGACGCUGAAGCACGAAAGCGUGGGGAGCGAACGGG